RNAcentral lists this long non-coding RNA (1250 nucleotides) under Taeniopygia guttata (zebra finch). RNAcentral describes it as "lncRNA (ENSTGUG00000029486.1)". Lineage: Eukaryota; Metazoa; Chordata; Aves; Passeriformes; Estrildidae. The record is from RNAcentral.
UGUGGACAAUAAGAAGGCCAACUCAGAUGCUGUAAACCACACAGUCUUCCAAUAAAACCUGAACUGGUACUACCAGCUGGUUUUAUGGAGACUGAUAACAUGGAUUUUAUGACUACUCUGUAGCGUGAGCUGGGUAUUGGCCAGUGACAAAAGUGAAUAGCCGCAUAAUCCUACUGUUAUCAGUGAUGUUACAGCACCAUCUACAGGGCCAGCUAAGACUAAGGUACGAUAAAGGAAUACCAGUUACACCCACAGAAAAAUUACUAGUUCCUCUUUGAACUAUACAUACAAAUACUUUAAACUAGUUAUGUAUAACCAAAGUACAGCUUGUAGAGCAUUUCAUCCCAGUGAAAACUCUUCUGUCUACUAUGUAAUCUGAACAUUUGUGUGAGUGCCAGAAAAGCGAAUCCUGUUUAUAGUCAUCCAUCAGUUCAGUAUGAUUAAUAGGAUCAUUUCAGUGCAUGCUUAUUUUUAGCCUUAUGGAGGAUUUAAGACAUAGUACUAAACCUUAUUUCCCCUUGUAAUGCAAAGUCAUAAUAUGAGAAAAAUCUUCCUUCCCAGAAUUUCUUUAAAAAUCCAGCUCAGAAGGUAUUUUGGGGUUAAGAAUACUUGUAAGAAGUUCCUGUUUUGAAGUACCUUUUGCAUGCCAAAAUUUUGCCCUUUAAUAGCCCAUUUUGCUGAAACCUGUCCAAACAAGACAGUGCAACUGCCUGACAGUGGAAAAUAUAUGACAACUUGCUAAAUACCUCCUAAAUUAAUCCUUCUUGACUGUCAGGACUGAGAGUAAAUCCCUGGGGAUCCGGCAGAAAGGUGAAGGGUUUGUCAGGAAGAGUAUAUUUUAGAUAUUCUCACUCAGGAAAGUAAAGGCAUUUUCAAAUUUUAUUUAACCCUGCUCUUUGCAUCUUCUCAUUUUAGAUAUGAAACAUGAUGAUGUGGUUUUGAAGCAAUUAUGCCAGAGGACCAGACACCUUUGCAUCUGGAUUUGCAGAUGUCUUUGGCCAAGUUAGAUGAUGAGAGGAGAUCUGAGGAGCAUUCAUUGCCACACCUGAUGUGUAAGAGUGACAUUUGGCAGCACCCACAGGGAGGUGAAGGCAGCACUCUAUCCAGGAGAGGAGAGAGCUGCUUCAGGGCCUUUCCCAGCCCAGGGGGUUCUGGUUUUCCUGGUCCUGUGUUCUGCCAUCCUGUGGUGAGUCCCUGCACUGAGGAACAUGAGACACACACAGUUCCAGGGGUGCAGGAAUGUUCCCGGU